This 506-nucleotide ribosomal RNA is filed under the name uncultured bacterium. RNAcentral's name for it is "bacterial SSU rRNA". It matches the Rfam family "Bacterial small subunit ribosomal RNA", at positions 9 to 507 of the family's 1533-position model. The record is from RNAcentral.
GAGUUUGAUCAGUGGCUCAGAUUGAACGCUGGCGGCAUGCUUUACACAUGCAAGUCGAGCGGCAGCGCGGGGGCAACCCUGGCGGCGAGCGGCGGACGGGUGAGUAAUGCAUCGGAACGUAUCCCGUAGUGGGGGACAACCCAGCGAAAGCUGGGCUAAUACCGCAUAUGCUCUACGGAGGAAAGUGAGGGACCCGCAAGGGCCUCACGCUAUGGGAGCGGCCGAUGUCCGAUUAGCUAGUUGGUGGGGUAAAGGCCCACCAAGGCGACGAUCGGUAGCUGGUCUGAGAGGAUGAUCAGCCACACUGGGACUGAGACACGGCCCAGACUCCUACGGGAGGCAGCAGUGGGGAAUUUUGGACAAUGGGGGCAACCCUGAUCCAGCCAUGCCGCGUGCGGGAAGAAGGCCUUCGGGUUGUAAACCGCUUUUGGUCGGGAAGAAAAGGCGUCUCCUAAUACGGGGCGUUCUUGACGGUACCGGCAGAAUAAGCACCGGCUAACUACGUG